This 335-nucleotide long non-coding RNA is filed under the name Setaria italica (foxtail millet). Its description in RNAcentral is "long non-coding RNA (SITA_LNC001581)". Lineage: Eukaryota; Viridiplantae; Streptophyta; Magnoliopsida; Poales; Poaceae. The record is from RNAcentral.
AUUCUGCGAGCAGAUCACCUAUGUCGCUGAACGACGUUUCAAUUACUGAACUUGAUCCAAGGUGAUCCACCUUGCGAAGUGAUGGUGAACUUGUUGCACUGUAGUUGCAACAAAAACAAAGUUUGGUAUACUGGGAGGGGUCAGGGGAGCAGCCAGAAUUUUCGAUUGAGGGCCAAAUAGGCUAUGCAACAUAAGUUGUGAUCCACCUUGCGAAGUGAUGGGUGUACUUGCAGCACUGUUGUUGCAACAAAAACAAAGUUUGGUGCUGGGAAGGUCGGGAGCAGCCAGGAUUUUUUAUUGAGGGCCAAUUAGGCUAUACGACACGGUUGUUACUA